This is a long non-coding RNA of Mus musculus (house mouse), 507 nucleotides long. RefSeq annotates it as predicted gene, 52714. The record is from RefSeq and is a predicted model, not a curated record. Lineage: Eukaryota; Metazoa; Chordata; Mammalia; Rodentia; Muridae. The transcript has 3 exons.
GCAGACACAACAAAGGCCCAUUGUGCUGGCAGCCAGGUACUUCCUGCAUGGCUGCCAGCCAUGCCAGCACCCAGAACAAGCUGAGGAGGGGUCCUAUGUGCUGGCAGAGACUCACCUGCCCUGUGGGACAACCUGGGAGGGGAAAGGAGAGCCCUGGAUUCUUUCUUAGGCAAUAGCAGACUUCAAGUUUACCUGACUCUGUCAUAUGCUCAGAGACACCUGCCAACAUUUCUGACUUCUGUUCCAGUGUGAGCAUGAAACCUUCUCACUAGCGUUGGGCUCUUCUAACUUGCACACCAACACCUGGGCAGAUGUGCCACAAAGAGAAGUCCCACCUCCAGGACUCCUGUGUAAAGGGGCAGAUACUAAGCUAACUGUUCAAUACUGGAUCCCUUCCAGAGCCUGAAAUAACCAUCUACCACUUGAAAUAACCAUGGCUGUUCAGGAAGGGCCUAAUGUCUGAAGAGGAACUCUGGGGUCACAGAGCUCAGCAGUCAGUAGAGACAA